CCUACGGGAGGCAGCAGUGAGGAAUAUUGGUCAAUGGGCGCAAGCCUGAACCAGCCAUCCCGCGUGAAGGAAGAAGGCGCUAUGCGUUGUAAACUUCUUUUCCAGGGGGAGAAUUUUUCCGUCGUGACAGGAAUUGACGGUACUCUGGGAAUAAGCAUCGGCUAACUCCGUGCCAGCAGCCGCGGUAAUA
Molecule: ribosomal RNA, 190 nt
Filed under: uncultured bacterium
Lineage: Bacteria
Description: partial 16S ribosomal RNA
Rfam family: Bacterial small subunit ribosomal RNA
Source: RNAcentral